Molecule: ribosomal RNA, 91 nt
Filed under: Flavobacteria bacterium GWF1_32_7
Lineage: Bacteria; Pseudomonadati; Bacteroidota; Flavobacteriia
Source: RNAcentral
GGGCUCACCUCUUCCCAUUCCGAACAGAGAAGUUAAGCCCGAUUGCGCAGAUGGUACUGCAGUUAUGUGGGAGAGUAUGUCGCCGCCUUUC